GUCGAACGCUUCUUUUCCCACCGGAGCUUGCUCCACCGGGAAAAGAGGAGUGGCGAACGGGUGAGUAACACGUGGGUAACCUGCCCAUCAGAAGGGGAUAACACUUGGAAACAGGUGCUAAUACCGUAUAACAAUCGAAACCGCAUGGUUUCGUUUUGAAAGGCGCUUUACGGUGCCGCUGAUGGAUGGACCCGCGGUGCAUUAGCUAGUUGGUGAGGUAACGGCUCACCAAGGCCACGAUGCAUAGCCGACCUGAGAGGGUGAUCGGCCACAUUGGGACUGAGACACGGCCCAAACUCCUACGGGAGGCAGCAGUAGGGAAUCUUCGGCAAUGGACGAAAGUCUGACCGAGCAACGCCGCGUGAGUGAAGAAGGUUUUCGGAUCGUAAAACUCUGUUGUUAGAGAAGAACAAGGGUGAGAGUAACUGUUCACCCCUUGACGGUAUCUAACCAGAAAGCCACGGCUAACUACGUGC
This 476-nucleotide ribosomal RNA is filed under the name Enterococcus mundtii. Its description in RNAcentral is "bacterial SSU rRNA". It matches the Rfam family "Bacterial small subunit ribosomal RNA", at positions 61 to 508 of the family's 1533-position model. The record is from RNAcentral. Lineage: Bacteria; Bacillati; Bacillota; Bacilli; Lactobacillales; Enterococcaceae.